AGCGAACGCUGGCGGCAGGCUUAACACAUGCAAGUCGAGCGGGCACUUUCGGGUGUCAGCGGCGGACGGGUGAGAAACGCGUGGGAACGUGCCCUCUGGUUCGGAAUAACUCAGGGAAACUUGAGCUAAUACCGGAUACGCCCUUUUGGGGAAAGGCUUGCUGCCGGAGGAUCGGCCCGCGUCUGAUUAGCUAGUUGGUGAGGUAACGGCUCACCAAGGCGACGAUCAGUAGCUGGUCUGCGAGGAUGAUCAGCCACACUGGGACUGAGACACGGCCCAGACUCCUACGGGAGGCAGCAGUGGGGAAUAUUGGACAAUGGGCGCAAGCCUGAUCCAGCCAUGCCGCGUGAGUGAUGAAGGCCUUAGGGUUGUAAAGCUCUUUUAUCCGGGACGAUAAUGACGGUACCGGAGGAAUAAGCCCCGGCUAACUUCGUG
This 435-nucleotide ribosomal RNA is filed under the name uncultured bacterium. RNAcentral describes it as "partial 16S ribosomal RNA". It matches the Rfam family "Bacterial small subunit ribosomal RNA", at positions 29 to 507 of the family's 1533-position model. The record is from RNAcentral.